Phalacrocorax carbo (great cormorant) is the source of this 8346-nucleotide non-coding RNA. Lineage: Eukaryota; Metazoa; Chordata; Aves; Suliformes; Phalacrocoracidae. The record is from RefSeq and is a predicted model, not a curated record.
AGGAGGAGGAGGAGGGACCGGCCGCUCCCCGCCCCGGCCGCGGGCGGGAAGGCGGCGCGGCCGCCGCAGCCCCCACAGCCCAGCCCGGCCGGCUGGCGCUCCGCCUCCCCCUGCAGCGGCGGGAGGGCCCGGCCUGCCGCGGGUGGGGUGCGGGGGGCGCUCUCCUACCUCCCCGGCGCGGCCUCCGUCCCGCACACCCGCACCCACGCGUGUCGUGUUCGCCCGGGGCAGGCAGCUGCACGCGCGGGAGCUGCCGGAGCGUUGCACCCUCCUCCCGCACCCACCUCCCUCCCUCCCGCACCCUCCCACCCGGGACGGCAGUUCCCUGCGGAACACCCCACGCUGACCGGCCGUGUCUCUCGGGGUGCCCCGGCGAGAGCAAGGGGACGGUCCCCAGGCUCCCCACGCACCCCUGCUCUCACCGGCUUCGCUUCCCUCCCGGCGCGGCUCGUCCCGCCCCUCGGGAACAGCCGGGCAAGGCCACAAGCACCGGCUGGGCGAAGGUUUGUGCUGCAAGUCCGUAAGAAGAACCACCUGUGUGUUGAUGUGUCUAAGGAAGUUCUGCCAGAUUUGGAGCCCUGAUUUUCUGCAUGGAAUUUUUUCUUUUAAAAGUUCUUUUCCCUUUGGUCUUUUUUCAGAAUGGCAGGAAGAUGUGCCAGGGGAGGGUUAUGUUGGAUGUUAGGAAAGGGUUCUUCACCCAGAGGGUGGUGGAGCACUGGACCAGGCUCCCCAGGGAGGCAUCACGGCACCAGCCUGACAGUAUUCAAGAAGCACUUGGACAAGGCCCUCAGAGACAUGGUGUGAAUUUGGGGUGUCCUGUGCAGGGACAGGAGUUGGACUUGAUGAUCCUUGUGGGUCCCUUCCAACUCAGGGCAUUCUAUUAUUUUUUCCCAGGCAAAAAUGAACCUGCACCUUUUUGAGCGCUGUUGCAGCGGGAGCCCAAGAACACUAUGACUUGCAGGAGCAUCAGUCAAAGCUGGUUAUAGCUGGACUGCCCUGCCUUGGCAAGUGCCUGCUCCGAUUCGUGCUGUCCUUGCAACAAAUUGACCCGUGAGUGCUCUUUGUGCAGUUUUUUACUUGUUUCAUCGAGGGUUAAUUAGUGUUUGUAUAGUGACACAGUUCUCUGACACUCCACGGACACAGUUGAGGGACUGAAUUCUGGCUGUGCUGUAGUUUCUUAAUUUCUGUGUUAUGGUUACUGUGAUGCAUAUCCUCGAUGUAAAAAAAGCAUUUCUGACUGAUUUGCUACUUUUGACUGCCAGAUUUCAGUCUGGGUUUAAGGAAGGAGAGAAGAAGAAGAAAUAUCAAUACUAAGCUCUAUUACUUGAAGAAUUAUUUCAAACCCCCUCUUGACCACCUAAGACUCUUCCACAUGCCAUUAAAUUCAGCAGAAAAAAGUCUCAUGGAGUCUCAACCUUUUGUGCUUGGAGAGCACCACCCCACAUUAUGGCUCCUUGCUCUUCCUACUGGCUUAACCCCUCUGUGAGUCACGCAGCUCCUUGUUCCAGCGUACCCAGCACUGCAGGCACCUACCGGGCUUUGUCAAACACAAGCACAGGUCCCAGCCCAAGGUGCUUGUUUUCACUUAAAUUGUGCAUUUCACAACUAGCUUGUAAAGCACUUUGAAGGUAUGACACUAAGUAUUAUUAAUGCUAAAUGGUAUUAUUGGACAGGUGUAAUGAGAGCAAUUAAAUAGUAAUACCAAUAAAAAACAGUUGCGGGACACAAAGGUAGAAUUAAGUCAUAUAUGCCUACUUUAUAUCCACAUCUUCCGGCUGUUGAUUACUCAGUACAGCCUGACACUCUGAAAAUACACUUCCAUCUCUCUUAUUAUACACAGCCUUCCAGCUAGGAACUGCUAAAGCCCUGUGCUCAGGCUAAUGCUUUGACAGGUAUAUGGGUGCUGCCAGCAAGGCUGGCAAGUGGCUGCCAUGGAUCGGUCUUUGUGGAAGGUGAGCAGCUGGAAGCUGUGUGAUCAGAGCUCUCACCUACUGCCCACAGGUGUCCGAAAUGAGCUGUCUGGACAGAUGGGCGGGGUACUGGGGAAAAGACCUGCAAAGCAGCACUACAGGCUAAAACCACAGUGGUGAAGGUAACUGUGGUGGUGAUGAGAAGCCCUCACAAUUCCUGACGAGUGAAUGAUCAGUUCAGCGGUGUGUCUUGCCCCAACCUUCCAACACCACCCUGAACAGCAAACUCACCAAGCUGGAUGCUACAGGAUGACUCUUGUGCAAGGCAUCCAGGUACCUCGCACUUGGAGGUCCCAUGUGGAUGAAUGGCAUGAGCUUCAUGGUAGGACAUCCCUCCUAUAAUGCAGAAUUUGCACGACUAGGUUCCAGCAACGGAGGGAGAUCAAAUUCCCCAAGUCCACUGGAUAAACUGUUAACUCUGAAGGAUAGUGAUGGCUGUGUAAACUAAGUUUGUUUGAAUACUCCAAGUCAUGUUUGCUCUGUCAUCUGCCAGAACAAACCUUUGGCCUGGUGAAACUCCUCUUUCCCCUGUGUGCAACCCCCUGUGCCAUGCUGGCAUGGUGCGUGCACUGGGGCUGGAGCUGGGAGCCAGAUGAAGAUUAGCCCAGAAGAAUACUUUGUUUUCAGCUGGAUUGCUCUCAGGAUUUGACUAUGAUAUGGACACACAAAGAGGUAUGUCAGCACAACUGAAGGGGCAGCAGGAUCCAGCCUGGAGAUGAGAAUGCACAGCACAAACUGGAGCUGGGAACAGGAUGAUCAGCAAGAGAACAAGGGACCAGCACCAUGCCAGAAACCUCAGCCUCUGCCCAGCUGCUCUCUGCUCACCCCAUCCCUCACAGGAGAGAGAAGGGCUGGGAAAAGGGGAAGAAGUGGUGAGAGUAGAAACUCACCUUUGGACUUUCCUACAUUCUAGCCUGCUGGCGCAGCAACGCUGAAGAAAUAAGGAUUUAAUUCUGCAGACAUCGUGUUUGGUGGCAGCGCUUUGAUGGAGCGGUUGGGUUACACUCCCUCUGUUGUGCUGGUGCAGCUCUUUGUGCCGUUGUGUUGUCAAAGAGACCAGGAGACUCCUUAAAAAAAGCAGCACCCUCCCCACCUCAGUUAUUUUUACCCUGGCUCAGCUCCCAGGCACAAUUCACCUCAUCUCCACCAAGGUGCAACUGGAGGAAGAGCCUUGGAGUGGGCAAGCGUAGCCAGAAGCAGCGAAAAGGGGUCUGCCUAAAUCCACAGUGCCCAUCAAAAAAUGGCCUCAGGGAGAGUUUCUCCUCAGCAAUCAUGUGCAACUUGUUUCUCAGAAGUAGAGAGAUCAAAAAAGAGGAAAGAAAGGUUGAAUCUGUGUAGGCACGUGCAGCAUUUGCAUACUAUUUUCCUCUGCAAAGCAUAAAAGGAAAUUUGACUGUAAUCACAUUAGAAAUCCUCCCUUUUCCCCUCCCAUUUAAUCUAAACAUUUAUGUAUUACACUGUCCCCAGCUUAGGCAUGGAUGCUGCCUUUAACACCUGAUUGUUCCUGCUGAAGUCAGUGGAAACACUUAGAUGGUUAAAGCUGCCUGUGCUUAAAUGCUUUGUUAGGUCACAAGUUAAUUUAAGGACAGAGAAGCACAGCUCCAAACGAGAAAAAUAGGUUAGUAAUACUGAAGUCACAGCAAAUCUGGAGGAAAUCUCCUGGAAUAGGUUCAUAAUUAGUAAACGUACAUUUCUCAAAGUAAAUAUCCUCACCUUUUAUUCAGUUUCCUUUUUCUGUGAUUUUGUCUGGGGACUACGGUUCCUGGCUAAAGAUAGGACAAACUGAAGACUUUUACAAAUUAGUGCCUGAACUAAUAACUAACUAACUAAACUCCUUAUUGCAGCAUGCAGGAGCCUGCACUGUGCACUUAUAUCUUCCUACACAGCAUUGCGUGAGUGAGGUGAUUCAAGGGGGUAGCUGUCUUAAGGUAACCAACGCUGAACAUGCGGUUUGGUGUGAACUCCCAGAUUUCUGCAGAGCAGAGGCACCAGACUCCGCGCAUACAGAGGCACAGCCCGGGACAGGUACCUGCAAUCUGAACUGAGCAGGGCUCAUUUUGCUGCAUUUAUAAUGCAGGCGCCGUGCAUGAAAAAACAUUUCCAGUCUAUGUUUUCCCACCUCCCGAAGUGCACCGGCUCCUUGGUUACAGGUGAGGUGGGUUUGUUACGCAAAGAAACAUAACUUCAGGUUCUACCCUGAAAAUUAAAAUUCAAAGCUGAACAUCCCCAGCCGUCGAUACCAGCUGAGUGGAGUUUCUUGGAUCACAGGUUUUUACUGAGGUACCUUCGACCUGUCCACGUUCUGCUUCAGGUACUUAAGUGCCUUUUUGGAUCCUACUUGAAGCUUUGCAUUCCUGAGGGGCUUAGUGGGCUUAGGAGACUGUUUUAGGAGUCUGUUAGACUCUCGACAAGAUCGGGUCAAGGUCUUAACAGACCUUUAGGAAUCUGGAAGACCUUGACCCGAUCUUAUCAGUAAACUCAGGCAAGGUUUUGGGCUCAGAAUCCCCUUAUCUUAAACCCAAAAGUUUAUCUACGUUUUUCACUUAAUUAAAAAAUAUUACCUCUUCUAUCCUUAGACUGUUGCUGCUGCAGCACUUGUACUGCAGUGUAUUUGAAAGAGCACUGUAACGAGCCUGCAGUCAAGACCAGCCCGGUCCUAUCAGCUUUACCCUCAUGCUCCAAAGCUGGCUGGUGCCUCCCAAGCACGCUGCCCCCCACCCGCAGUUCGGCAUCUCAGUUUUGGCUCUGUUUUUGAGAAGUUGGGCGAGAGAAACCUGCCAAGAAACACUGUAUUCAACCGACCAUAGCAGAAGCUGGAGAAACACACCGUAGUGGUCAAAUGCCAGGUCUGGAUUCAGGAACCUGCAGGAUGUACGAGGAAAUAACAGCGGCUGGGCAAGCAGUUUCUUUGCAAAAUAGCUCCACCAGGCCAGCGGCAAACUCCAGGUGCUUGUAAAACAAAAUUGGGCAGCAGAAGGCACCCAAGGGCUUAUGCAUUUUUUGUCUGAUGGCCUCUCACCCCCGAAGCCCUUUCUCUGAGGCUCAGACAAGAUCUGCAGUAGUUUCACUUUGAGCAGUGACUGUUUUCAUCUCGACAGCCUUGGACUGCAGAACCAACCUCAGCACUUGCCUCCCACUCAUGCUAUCCUGGCCACCCUUGUCACACCUCCGUCUUUGGGGAGCAGCACCCUUGCACAGCUCUGAGGCAGCAGCGGUUUGGUUUCCCUCUGCUUCCACUGCAGCACCUCCAUGUCUUGGGUGGCUACAGCCCAUUUUCAACCAUGAUUCAAUGGAGAACAAAAAAGCUCUCGAGGGUAGGAAGUGGGGCUAAGGCUUCUUUGGAAGCAGGGUUUAGUAAUCCAAAUCACCACCUUUAAAAAUCAGUGCCCUUGGGCUGCAGCCAGCCCUCAGCUCUGUCAACAUCUUUACUGCCAACUUCACUAACAGUCACACAAAUGUAAAUCUAGUGUGAGAAGAGGAUUAAGCCCAUUCUGGUUUUAUGGCCUAUGAAAUGUCUAUUGCCCUGCUGCCGCUGUGCAGCGAUACGUAACACAGAAAAGGGGAAUUCAGGCUGCUAUUGCAUCUUCAGAAAUUUAAAGGAAAAAAUGUCAUUCCAGAAACUUUACCAGCCAGUGAAGUGUAUAUGCAUACAAGGCUUCUUCUAAGUCAGAAGCUUAAAGCCUGUACCUUGCCAGAUGUUGGUUGAAGUACAUCAAUUUUUCCCUGCGAAAUAAGAUUAGCAACAGCAAUUUUCCAUGCGUUCAAGUUCAGGAUUUUGUCGGCAAGGGGAUUAGAGCUCAGGCGAACAUGAGCCUGCCCGGGUACUGCCCUACUCCAUGUACUGCUCUCACUUGGGAUGAGACCUGUGCAGAGGGCUAUUUAGGAAUCCCACUAAAAUGAUUAUUUCUUUGCUGAUGACUCAGUUGGCUGAGAUUUGCAAGAAGGACUGAGGGAAUUAGAUUUGUGGUUUCUAAAAAUUUUGGUUCAGUGUGGGUUCCUGAUUCCCUUAGACUGAUGUUCUCAUGCAAAAGACUAGAAAUGGAUUUUUUGCUAUAAAAUUUACAAUUUUAUUUCAGCUCUUGGGCUGGGAAUAUAGUUUGCUUUCAGGGUUCUAUAAUCUUAGAGUAUGGCUGAGAUCUCUCAGCAGGAUCGCAAUACCACUAAUUGUUAUGAUUAUUAACAGUGUAACUCCACUGAGCCACCAGCAGAAAAACAGCUGAGCUGAGUAAGUAUUUCAAUUAAAGAUGCAGAAUUAUGCAUAUUUAUGCACAAUCCUGGAAAGCAGACGAUAUUUAAAAUGUACUUCAGGGCAACAGAUACAAUUAACUUUUUGUUACCUUUAUUAUUUUCCCAUUUAUCCUGGUCUCUAGCUUGAAAGUCUCAUUCAGUCCUUACCUGGGUAAAGUUGCCGUUGCCUUUGGUGUAAGAUUUUCUAGGCGACUGUGACUUUUUUUGUUCACGGGGGUAGGAGAGGUCUAUAAUGAGAUAUUGUACUGACCCUCGAAGGCACAACUGACAGCGUCUGCCAACAUGGGAAUCCAUCUCCCUGGCAGAUGCUCGCAUACACUCCACCUCUCUGCUUCAUCUUCCAGUCCUGCCGAUGAAAACCUCUUGCAGAUCAGAAAGAAAAGUGGCACGCAUGGAAGACAGACUGCAGUGACCUCUUGUUUUGAUAUUUAGUGCUGUUUGUUUUGGCAUUGUGGAUAUAUUUAGUAAACUGUCAUCUGUUAUAAUUUAUGUGGGGACAGCUCCCAUGUUUUGAGAAACGUUUGCUGUCGGGCAUCGCUCAGAGUCCUUAAAUUGCUCUUUCAUUUACACACUGGUCUAUUUUAAAAGCAGCAUUAGGGGACACGUCCUCUCCCUUAAACCCACCAUGAGGAUUCUGAGCUGUGCCAAACACUUGUGUAUGGCAGAUUUUUAACCAAUUCCUCUUCUGAGCAAAUGAUUUGGUAUUUAUUUGUAAAUAGUUUUCCUGAAACCAAGGGAAAUGCAUGCUAAAUAAGACACUGUCGUGUUUUCUGACUGCAUGACAGACUGUCCCCUGAAGCGUGGCCCCAGCCCCUGGGCUGUAUCGCCCUCCCUGCGACAAGCCAGGAUAUUUUUGGCCAUCGAGGCCAUGGUGCCGGGCACUGGGGACCUUCUGCUCCGCGGGAGCACGUGUACCACCACUGUGUCAUAUGUGGGCAGCCACCAGCCACGCGUUGGUAGUACCGGUCACGGGUUUGCUUGCUCAUCCGCUGCCGGGGGCUGACCGCAGCGCAACACCUUGCUUGCAGUUUGCGGGAGGUAAAACCAAACACAUUAUUUUGCGUUUAGCCCAAACACCGAGCUGUCGGCAAUCAGCAGUCACUCUCACAUCUCAAAGAAUGGGAAGAAAAACAACAAAAAAAGCCUGUACUGGCACAAAGCUGAGGUUAAAUCAGUGGGAUCAGUGCAGCGCUGCUGUCAUCCUGCCCCAGCCCUGCAGGGCUCCGCAGGUGGGACCCACAACUCCCGUUCUCCCCACACCUCUCCAUGGCCUUGCAACCUGCCAUCCCCACCCAGAGGAUGUUGCACAGCUGUCUGGCCAGGCUGAGCUUGCCCACCGCGCUGGCUGCCAGCCCCAGAGAGGAGCCUGGCUUGGAGGCAGCCUGUCACACCUCCUGCAGCCAGCUUUGGGCUUUCUUGGUCUCAGACAGCAUCCAUAACCCCUUUCCCCUCUGCUGAUCAGGGUCUCAUUAUCACUCCUAAAUUGCCCCUGACAUGGGCUUGUCCUGCAGCAAAACCCAAAUCUCUUACUCAGAUACACACUACGAAGACUGGGGCUUGGUGUGCAGCGGGGAGCUGAGCUGCCCCCUCCAGCUUUGGGCACCAGAGGAAGUUGCUGGACAUCUCCAAGCUGCCACACAGUGAAUCCCUGGCCUUUAUUCUGCAGAAAUAAGUUUGGCGCUUUAUUGGGGCACUAACCUGAAACCUGGCAAAGCUGCACACAGACAAAGCAAAGAUGCAACUGCUGGAAGAGGACAAAAAGUAAUCCCUGCCAGCACUGAGUUGCACUUGCUCGGCACAGAGCAAAGUGGGCCACAUGGAAAUAGCGAUGCACAUCACACAGGUAAUCAUGCCUGCAUUUGAUUGCCGUGUAAUAUUCUCUUCUAGUCUCAAAUACCAGAUCUAGAGACUGAAAACCAGUUCCCAGCAUUACCUCUUUGGCCAGAACAAUAUCAGUAUUUCAGACUCACCAUAUAUGCUUAUGUAUUUAUUUUCUCUUUUUUAACACCCAGACAAGGCACACUGGUACCCACCUUAGGGCUUAUGAACAGCAGCAGACAGCCGCGCAGCAGCACUGCCCUCUGCCAGGCGUGAGCACGGAGGGUGGUAAAGCUCUGGCCGUCUUACA